Long non-coding RNA from Drosophila navojoa, 206 nucleotides. The record is from RefSeq and is a predicted model, not a curated record. Lineage: Eukaryota; Metazoa; Arthropoda; Insecta; Diptera; Drosophilidae.
UAUUGCAAUAUCAUAUGUGUAAUAAUAUAUGUCAAUUAAACUAUUCCAAGAACUUUUGUACUUGAACCCAUAUUUCGUCUGUGCAAAUGAAAUUCAUCUGCGUUUAGGACUGAUGCUUAAAGUUAAUAGUGAUUUUCGUAGUUCACUUAAACACUUACAGUUGGCAUUGGUGGAUUCAUCACCCUCGACAUUUACGGAUCUUCAAG